GGCAUGGUAGCCAAGUGAUAAGGUGUUUGUCUUGUAAAUUGAAGCUCAUGGGUUUGACCCCCAUCCAUGCUG
Non-coding RNA from Gymnothorax javanicus (giant moray), 72 nucleotides. NCBI's taxonomy places the organism in Eukaryota, Metazoa, Chordata, Actinopteri, Anguilliformes, Muraenidae. The record is from the annotation of a GenBank genome assembly.